Long non-coding RNA from Passer domesticus (house sparrow), 3404 nucleotides. RefSeq lists it as uncharacterized. The record is from RefSeq and is a predicted model, not a curated record. The transcript is spliced from 2 exons. Lineage: Eukaryota; Metazoa; Chordata; Aves; Passeriformes; Passeridae.
CAACUCCAUUCUUUACAUGGUUGAGCACUUACGGAGUCACACAUGGGGGGGAAAACACAUCACCACAGCUGGGUUCUGUUGGCUUAAAUCAAAUGCAGACAUUUAAAUAGAUGGUGGAGAGGAGUAGAGCCCCUGCAACAGCAGGGGAGGUGAAGAUUCUGCUCUCCUGACCUGCCUGUAUACAGAAAUUUAAAGAAAGUGGUAAGAAAAACAGGCCUGUGUUUGCAGCAGAUAUCACCCACGUUUUCCAAAGACCAAAGAAUCCCUGGAGAGUUCAAAGGGGGAGGUGUUGUGUGAGUGCAGCCCAUGGAAUGAUAAACACUCCUGGGAUAAUUUAGAUGUAGAAGGCACACUGAGAAACACAAUUUCCAUUGCAGCAAGGCUGGGGGGACAGAAGUCUUGUGGUGCUGUUUGUUCCCUGAGUGCAGCAAGGCUCUCACAGACAGCAUCACUUCCCUGUGCCAGGAUUUUGUGUGUUUUUGAAGUAAGAACCUGUUCCCUUCAUGGAAGAGGAUGUCACAGCUGGACAAAAGACCUCAGCAGAUUAGAUUCUGCUUCUUCUCCACUGGCACAAAGGACAUAGAUCUUGUGUCUUCCAGGAAGAGCAGAUUCUGCCAACAAUGCAAAGUUAAGAACAGAAAAAUGGAUGGUUGUACCUGCAGUGGAGGACUCUCAGCUCUGACAAGUGUGAGCAUGGCAGAAGGCCCCUGGCCAGGCCUGAGCAGCACAGCUCACAUCUCCUCGUGUUUCUUGGCUGAUUCUGCUUCAGCCAGACCUUUGGGGUGUGUAAAAUGAUUGGUUCCUCUGUGAAAUAACACAGGAGGAAAAGGACAUCCUGCUCUUCCAGCAGUGAGUUUUUUACUUCUUUACUAAUUUGCUCCCUUGGAAUUUGUACUCAUUUCUACUUUGUGGUGAAAGAAAAAAAGUCUGGGCUCACAACCACCUGUGCAUGGCAUUUGCUUUGCAUGCUUGGACUGGGUUUUUCAGGAUUACACAUCAGAUUGGUUACCUCUGUCUGGUUUAGGGAGACAACAGAGAAUUCUGGCUGAAUUGAGAGGAAUCUUUGAAAAGCAGUCUGAUGCUGGGCUCACCUGGUUGUUUUGUACUGCUGGAAGAUCCUGGAAGAACUGGCACAAUUAGACAUGCAGAAGUAUUUGAGCAGCAAUACCUACUCACAAUGAAGCAAUUAAGACAAUUACUGUGUGUUUUAUGUAACAGGACAAAUGGAUCUCACUCUUAAAGUCUUUGAAAAUCUCCUGUAAAAGCUCUAAUAAUGCAUUAAUACAUUAAUCCUUCUAAUCCUGUCAAACUCCACAAGUGUUUCCAUGGAGGGGCUGAUAGGAGAUCUCAGUACUGAGAGGAGGAGCAGCAACCACUUGCUACAGCUGCUUUUCUAACCAUUUAUCCAUGGGACUGAAAGUCACAGUACUCAAUGGCUGAAGGGUGGGAUCACACGGGAUGGUUGGGGUUGGGAGGGAUCUCUGAAGUUCAUCUAGCCCAGCCCCUGCCACAGCAGGCUCACCUAGGGCAGGACCACAUCCAGGCAGGUUUUGAAUAGCUCAGAGAAGCAGAUUCCAUAAAGGAGAAGGAAACUUUGGAAAGACUCUCUUGACCUUGGCCCUGGAAAUGGUUCCCUGACUUGUGCAUGCUGCCAUUUCUACUGGAUCCAGUAAAAUACAACAAUUUCUCCUGAGUCACGAGGCAGAGGGGUUGUGGCCAGGGGUGAUCCAGAGAGGAUCUUGAGGUGUUCCUGGACUCCCCCAGGCAAGGAGCAGUCCCAGCCAGUGCCUCUCUCUCUUAGCACAGGCACAACCUGCCACCUCUGGAGUCCAGAUGCUCUGAACUGAGGCUGAACUCUGGGAGAGAGGCCAAAUAUCCAAUCAAGAAGUAAAAAUAAAAGCAAACGUAAAAGGAAAGAUAUUUUGUAAAAUCAAAGGUAGAGGCAGCCCAGUGGCAGUAUCAUGGAGAAAAAUAAAAGAAAACUGUGCUUCUAUUUACCUAUGCUUAGGUCAGAUCAAAGAGGCUUCCCUGAUUCUCCAUUUGCAAUACCUGCUUAAUCGUGUGCCUGUGCCUCCUGCUCUUAGGCAAAGCUCAUGUUCUUAGAAAACUGUCAGAGGAGAAGAUGCUGAUUUGGAUAUACAAGUUGUUAGGAUUUUUUUUCCUUUUUUCUUUUUUUUUAAAAAUCUUACCCGAUACUCUGUUCCAGCUGCAGCAUCUCCCUGGAUGGAUAUCUUUGAUACCCAACAUAAAUUCAAAUUAGUUUUAACCCUCCACACACCAGGCUACUGCUGCCUCAAAGCUUUGGUAACUCCUGAAUAUGUUAACCUGUUGUAGGAUAACAAACUCUUUUCUGCCUGGCACGGCAGUGCUGAAAUCUCAGUGUGAAGCCUUCCUCACAGAGCCAGCCUUGCAUUUCACAGCAUCGCAAAAUUGCCAAUCACAUUUAUACAAUAAUAUACAUCUCACUGCUACAAGUAGCUCAUUAAUAGUCUUAAUUGAGACUAGACUCAAUGGCUAAGCAGCCACUUGGAGAAGAUAAUGGGUGUGAGGUGAGUGACCCCUGUACAGUCUUUGAGAGAUUUCAGAGUGCCUGGAUUUUCAGAAGAGUCUGGGGAAAUUAUACAUAAAAUACCUUAUCAUAUCUCACUGAGAAUGGGAUAUCUGGGCUAGCUCAGGAAAAAAAAAAAUCUCAAUUUUAAUUUUUCUGCAUUUUAGGUCUUGAUCUGAAAGCCAAGGCUAAUGCUUCUUUUCCUAAUUUAGAGGUACAUGGAUCCCUUGAGGUCUGUGACUUAGGUAGAUGUGAGUCUACUUGGGGAUAGUUAAGUAAAGUACUGCUGGAAAAUCCAGGACAAGCAAAGACUGUGACUUGUGUGUUUUCCCAAAAGCACAAGGCAAAAGAAGAGCUUUGGAAUCCAGUCCUUCUGUAUAGCAGAGCCCAUGGGAUAAGAGGAGCUCUCUAUUUCAGGAGGCACUUUUGGAAAAUGCUGCCCUGACCUCACCUGGGCUCUUUAUGCUGAUUUGCAGCAGAUGAGGAUCUGCCUCUCUAUGCCCAAAUAUUGUGAAGACUCACAUGUAGCAGACAGAGAAUGAGAUGGAGGGGAGAGGGUUAUGCCCUUUAUGCUGUGAAAACUUUUGAAGGGAAAGUUUCUCAACAAAACACUGAGGUUUUUACUGGGGGAUGGUGUGAAAGUGUUCCCAGGGAAAUGCAAAGGAGUGUAAGAGUGUCAUGCUGGGGGAUGCAGACCCUGUCCCUGUGAGAUCAACAAGGAAAAUCAACAAGGAAAAGUGCUGCUCAUAAUGCUGAAAUAAAUUAGGAGUUGAGUGGCUGGAGGAUGGAGGCAUUAGGGUCAGGAUUAGGGUCAGCCCAGCCAGGCUGGUGUUGUGCAGGGGAGAGGACAUCUUGA